UACAGAGGUCCCAAGCGUUGUUCGGAUUCACUGGGCGUAAAGGGUGCGUAGGUGGUUGGUAAGUCCGAUGUGAAAUCUCCAGGCUCAACCUGGAAAUGGCAUUGGAUACUAUCUAGCUUGAGGAGUGGAGGGGGGACUGGAAUUCUCGGUGUAGCAGUGAAAUGCGUAGAUAUCGAGAGGAACACCAGUGGCGAAGGCGAGUCCCUGGACACUCCUGACACUGAGGCACGAAAGCUAGGGGAGCAAACAGG
Molecule: ribosomal RNA, 251 nt
Filed under: uncultured bacterium
Lineage: Bacteria
Description: partial 16S ribosomal RNA
Rfam family: Bacterial small subunit ribosomal RNA
Source: RNAcentral